GCAUCUCCCUUACACUGAGAAAUCACCCGUGCAAGUCGGGUCGCCCUGA
RNAcentral lists this transfer RNA (49 nucleotides) under Cyphocottus eurystomus. RNAcentral's name for it is "partial tRNA-Val". The record is from RNAcentral. Lineage: Eukaryota; Metazoa; Chordata; Actinopteri; Perciformes; Cottidae.